This 253-nucleotide ribosomal RNA is filed under the name uncultured bacterium. RNAcentral describes it as "partial 16S ribosomal RNA". It matches the Rfam family "Bacterial small subunit ribosomal RNA", at positions 524 to 776 of the family's 1533-position model. The record is from RNAcentral.
UACGAAGGGUGCAAGCGUUACUCGGAAUUACUGGGCGUAAAGCGCACGUAGGCGGAUUCCUAAGUCGGUGGUGAAAUCCUGGAGCUCAACUCCAGAACUGCCUCCGAUACUGAGAGUCUUCGAGUCCGGGAGAGGUGAGUGGAACUGCGAGUGUAGAGGUGAAAUUCGUAGAUAUUCGCAAGAACACCAGUGGCGAAGGCGGCUCACUGGCCCGGUACUGACGCUGAGGUGCGAAAGCGUGGGAGCAAACAGG